Molecule: transfer RNA, 359 nt
Filed under: uncultured Microcystis sp.
Lineage: Bacteria; Bacillati; Cyanobacteriota; Cyanophyceae; Chroococcales; Microcystaceae
Description: partial 16S-23S ribosomal RNA intergenic spacer
Rfam family: tRNA (bases 134-207)
Source: RNAcentral
AAAGGGAGACCUAAUUCCGGUAGGAGACGAAAAAAAAGUAGUCCCUACCAAGAAUCAAUCCCAAAAGGUCGGAACGAGGUAUGAGGCUUUCAAACUAGGUUCUGGGUUCAUAAAAGACCUGAAUCAGGAACAAGGGCUAUUAGCUCAGGUGGUUAGAGCGCACCCCUGAUAAGGGUGAGGUCCCUGGUUCGAGUCCAGGAUGGCCCACCUGCACAGGUGGCAAAAACAAGAGAAGCGAGGAAUCAGCACCUUAUCUUACUUAUAUAGUAAGAGAGAAUGCUGGCUCUGAGUAAAGAGUCCAGAGGAACCUUGAAAACUGCAUAGAGCUAGGUGAAAAAGCCAAAAAAGAAGACCGCAAG